UCGCCGAAGGAACGGCCCGCGUCCGAUUAGCUUGUUGGUGAGGUAAUGGCUCACCAAGGCGACGAUCGGUAGCUGGUCUAAGAGGAUGAUCAGCCUCACUGGGACUGAGACACGGCCCAG
Molecule: ribosomal RNA, 120 nt
Filed under: uncultured bacterium
Lineage: Bacteria
Description: partial 16S ribosomal RNA
Rfam family: Bacterial small subunit ribosomal RNA
Source: RNAcentral